Molecule: ribosomal RNA, 446 nt
Filed under: uncultured bacterium
Lineage: Bacteria
Description: bacterial SSU rRNA
Rfam family: Bacterial small subunit ribosomal RNA
Source: RNAcentral
UCCAGACUCCUAAGGGAGGCAGCAGUGGGGGAUAUUGCACAAUGGGGGAAACCCUGAUGCAGCGACGCCGCGUGAGUGAAGAAGUAUUUCGGUAUGUAAAGCUCUAUCAGCAGGGAAGAAAAAAGACGGUACCUGACUAAGAAGCCCCGGCUAACUACGUGCCAGCAGCCGCGGUAAUACGUAGGGGGCAAGCGUUAUCCGGAUUUACUGGGUGUAAAGGGAGCGUAGACGGCAAUACAAGUCGGAAGUGAAAUACCCGGGCUUAACCUGGGAACUGCUUUGGAAACUGUAUGGCUGGAGUGCUGGAGAGGUAAGCGGAAUUCCUAGUGUAGCGGUGAAAUGCGUAGAUAUUAGGAGGAACACCAGUGGCGAAGGCGGCUUACUGGACAGUAACUGACGUUGAGGCUCGAAAGCGUGGGGAGCAAACAGGAUUAGAUACCCCAGUA